Tympanuchus pallidicinctus (lesser prairie-chicken) is the source of this 474-nucleotide long non-coding RNA. RefSeq lists it as uncharacterized. The transcript is spliced from 3 exons. The record is from RefSeq and is a predicted model, not a curated record. NCBI's taxonomy places the organism in Eukaryota, Metazoa, Chordata, Aves, Galliformes, Phasianidae.
AGAUAAGACCAGACUUAGAGGAUUUCGAGAACAUUUCCUAAUAUGACUUUUUCAGGACAAGAUCACAAGCCAGGAGGAAAUGGAGAUUACUUUUGCCAGUGCUAACAAGUUUGGACAAAUCUGUAGGAGAAAGAAGGAUCAACAGUAUCUCCUGAGAGCAGAAAAGAAGGUGCUGAUAGACAGAGUGGAAUACACCUUUGGGUUUUUGAGGAUCUUGCUUGGAAGAGACUGAUUUGACAUGCUCUUGACAUGAAUUCUCUUCCUACCCAGAUUUACACUCCCACCUGCCAACGCAUGCUGUCCUGAUUUCCCUUCCUGGUGAGCCUGAGCACAUGAAGCCAUCAUAAGCUUAAACUUAUUACAGGCCAGAACUGCAGUGACCAUGACUGGUCUUUUUUUUCCAACAACAACAUAAAACUACUUACUUUAAGUUGCAUUAAAUAACCAAUAGUCACAUUUUAACCGAGAUUAAAA